GCACAGGGGAUCAGAAGUUGGGAUCUAAGGACGAACUAGUCCGUCUCGGCUUCUCUUCCCCGGCAAGGCCCACAGAUUGGCCUACACUAUCCAGACAACAAGCACAGAGCGGAUGGAUUUCAGGAAGCCCACCGAGCAAGCGACUUUAGAGGCCUUAAGUUGGGAAGAAUUCUGGAAAUCCCUGAAGAUCAUCCCCCUCACCUUCAAUGAAUGCAGAAUAAUGUUUGGAAAGAUGUAGACCACUAUUGCUAAAUGAGAGGGAGUCGGGAAUAGGAAGCAAGGAAGAACACAGAACUACGUUGCUGGAUUGGGCCCAGGGUCUAUCUAGUCAGUAUCCUGCUUCCCACAGUGACAAGGACAAUGAGGAAUAGUUAUAUACCACUUUUCAACAAAAGUCUCCAAAGCAGUUUACACAGAGAAAUAAAAAUAAAGAUGGAUCCCUGCCCCACAAAGAGCUCAUAAUCUAAAAAGAAACAUAAGAUAGACACCAGUAACAGCCACAGCAUCCAGUCAGAUGGCUCUGGAAAGCCCACAAGCAGGAGAUGAGGGCAAUACCCGCUUUCUCACUCUUGCACCCCCAGCAACUGCCUCUGUUCUGAACAUGUAGGCGACAUACAGACAUCAUGAUUAGUAGCAACUGCUAGUAGCCAUUGAAGGAACAAGGAGCCAGUUGAAAUCCAGUGGUUUUCAGCUCUCAAACUUUCUACAAUGUUCUACCAAAAUCCACAGUGUUGGAUUUUCUCAAAGUCUGAGUCAAACAUUUGGUGUCUUUGGACGAGAGUGUCUCGAUAUUACCCCAACGACUGCAGUUCAUCUGGAGUGCACUCAUUGGUGCCUCAGGCAGCAGAAUGAAAAGAAGACUCCUGAGAUGGAAAAAUGAAUUGUAUUACUUUAGGCUGCAGGUGUGAGAUCAAUUGUAUAAAUACUCCCUUAUGUAAACCAUUCCCUGCAGUUAGAAAACUAGCACAGCAGGGAAAGGAUGGGUCUAGGCUCUAGAACCUUUCCCCCCAUAUGUUAGCUUUCUACUUGCAAGGAUUUAUUUAUUUAUUUAUUUAUAGGAAAGCAUUUGAAAAUAGCAGUAGGAUAUUAUUGAUCUGAAUUGGGGUCCCUCACAUUCUUCCAGCUUAGGGCUCUACUAAUUCAUCCUACUGCAUGUGUAGAUUCAGCCUCAGUCCUUUUGAAAUCACUGUGGUUUAUUUCUGAAUAAAUUUGGAUGAGAUUG
Molecule: long non-coding RNA, 1222 nt
Organism: Hemicordylus capensis (graceful crag lizard)
Lineage: Eukaryota; Metazoa; Chordata; Lepidosauria; Squamata; Cordylidae
Exons: 2
Source: RefSeq, a predicted model, not a curated record